UUUUUGUUUACUAAUAAGCCAUAUUAUGAAACAGUAGUUUUGAAUAAUUACAAAGAAAACAAAAAAAGAUCAAUCAAUAUAUUUUAAAUAUUUUUUUGGAUCACUUUAGAAGCGGAAUGUCAAAGCUUUAUCAUUGCAAUACAAAAGUUAUGGAUAAGAGGUUACAUGAAAUUGACUUUUGAAGGAGACUGCAAAAAUCUAGUCAAUAGCUUGAAUGGAGGCAGCUCAAGAUUUGAUUUGGUUAACUGGACCUAUGAAAGAAGAGCAUGGGAGAGAAUAUUUGAGCAAUUGACAAUUGGACACUAGGAGCAACAAAUCAAACCUGCAGACAUUUUAGCGAAGAAACAACAAACAGAAGUUUCAGACUUCAUAUCUCAUUUUCAUAUUCCUUCUUGUAUAUCCAAUGAGUUGCACUCAGAUUACAUUGAUCCAAGUUAAUGAAAGUUGAUUUUUUUUUUUAAACUACAGUAAAUUCUCUAGAAAUUCCAUUAAUAUAU
RNAcentral lists this small RNA (497 nucleotides) under Arabidopsis thaliana (thale cress). Its description in RNAcentral is "ATSL291040". Lineage: Eukaryota; Viridiplantae; Streptophyta; Magnoliopsida; Brassicales; Brassicaceae. The record is from RNAcentral.